RNAcentral lists this ribosomal RNA (465 nucleotides) under uncultured bacterium. RNAcentral's name for it is "partial 16S ribosomal RNA". It matches the Rfam family "Bacterial small subunit ribosomal RNA", at positions 338 to 795 of the family's 1533-position model. The record is from RNAcentral.
CCUACGGGUGGCAGCAGUGGGGAAUAUUGCGCAAUGGGCGAAAGCCUGACGCAGCGACGCCGCGUGAGGGAUGAAGGUCUUCGGAUCGUAAACCUCUGUCAGCAGGGAAGAACGGUCACUGUGCUAAUCAGCAGUGAAUUGACGGUACCUGCAAAGGAAGCACCGGCUAACUCCGUGCCAGCAGCCGCGGUAAUACGGAGGGUGCGAGCGUUAAUCGGAAUUACUGGGCGUAAAGCGCUCGUAGGCGGUAUGUCAAGUCAAGGGUGAAAUCCCCGCGCUCAACGUGGGAACUGCAUUUGAAACUGGCAAACUGGAGUGUGUGAGAGGAUAGUGGAAUUCCAGGUGUAGGAGUGAAAUGCGUAGAUAUCUGGAGGAACAUCAGUGGCGAAGGCGACUAUCUGGCACAUAACUGACGCUGAGGAGCGAAAGCGUGGGUAACAAACAGGAUUAGAUACCCUAGUAGUC